UACAGAGGGUGCAAACGUUGCUCGGAAUUACUGGGCGUAAAGCGCGUGUAGGCGGUUUCGCGAGUCCGAUGUGAAAGCCCGGGGCCCAACCCCGGAAGUGCAUUGGAUACUACGAAGCUUGAGUGCUGGAGAGGAGAGCGGAAUUCCCGGUGUAGAGGUGAAAUUCGUAGAUAUCGGGAGGAACACCAGUGGCGAAGGCGGCUCUCUGGACAGACACUGACGCUGAUACGCGAAAGCGUGGGGAGCGAACAGG
Molecule: ribosomal RNA, 253 nt
Filed under: uncultured bacterium
Lineage: Bacteria
Description: partial 16S ribosomal RNA
Rfam family: Bacterial small subunit ribosomal RNA
Source: RNAcentral